AUAAGAAAAUUGAGACUCAGAGCAUUUAAGCAGCCAGCCUGGAGUCACAGAGAUUUAAGUCUCAGAGCCAGCACUCAGGAUGAGUGCCAAUGGAAGCCUGUCCUUGGAGUCCAGAAUGAACGUCAGAAGCAACCCAGCCACAGCAGGAGACUGUCCAUGAAUGUCAUCUGGCUGAACCUAAAGCAUGUUGCAGCUUUCAUCUUGAACUCUGACUUGACUUCUCAUCUUUCUUCACACUCUUGGAUGCUCCCCAGCCUAGUUAUGAAAUGGCCCUCACUUUGUUUUAUCCUCUUGGCAUUGGCCUCCCAAGAACCCUCCUCAGCUUCUGAUUCCUCGCUGGCCUAGUGCUCAGCCUAAGAUAUGACUCUGGGUCCCUGGAAACUGCUGAGUCAAAAAAGUGACAAAAGACAGCAAGAGCCUAGAAUACAAGGAAGUAUAAAGAGCAACAUCUACUAUAUUUACUAAUUGCCCUGCUUCUGUAGUCUCCAGCAUCUCUCCUUGCACAGAAAACCAUCAUGAAGCAGGGGCUCAAUGUAUAAACCAAAUUUGGCUAGACCUGAGAUCGGUUGGUCAAUCAUCUUACAAAAAUAUAAUUGUGCAAAAUCCUGUCUUAGGAAGAAUCGACAAGAAACACAAAAAUAACAUUGUACAUAUAAUAAAAGGCAAAACAACCACACUAGAAAUGGACUAAAGGCAGGCUAAACUGCCUGAAUAAAAAGAGAAAAUAACUGACUUCUGGGCUCUGUGGUACAGUUAACAAACCAGUAGAGGAUAGAAGUUAAAAGUGUAGCUUUGAAAUCCAAAAUAAGUUUAUGUCUUGAUUUGAUCAAUUAUUAGAUAUUAAACUGCUUAAUUUCUGUGCCUUAGUUUUCUCGUAAGUAAAAUGGAGACAAUAGUAGUACCUAUCUCAAAGAGUUGUUUAGAGGAUUAACUGUGUUAAUAAAGUAAAGCCCUUGGUCUUUAAUAAAUAUUUAAACUAU
Molecule: long non-coding RNA, 980 nt
Filed under: Homo sapiens (human)
Lineage: Eukaryota; Metazoa; Chordata; Mammalia; Primates; Hominidae
Description: HSALNT0034648
Source: RNAcentral